Molecule: ribosomal RNA, 440 nt
Filed under: uncultured bacterium
Lineage: Bacteria
Description: partial 16S ribosomal RNA
Rfam family: Bacterial small subunit ribosomal RNA
Source: RNAcentral
CCUACGGGAGACAGCAGUGGGGAAUAUUGCUCAAUGGGGGAAACCCUGAUGCAGCGACGCCGCGUGAGGGAAGAAGUAUUUCGGUAUGGAAAGCCCUUUUAGCAGGGGAGAAAAUGACGGUACCUGACCAAGAAGCCCCGGCUAACUACGUGCCAGCAGCCGCGGUAAUACGGAGGGGGCAAGCGUUAUCCGGAUUUACUGGGUGUAAAGGGGGCGUAGACGGGAGCACAGGUCUGGAGUGAAAUGCUGGGGAUUAACCCCGGAACUGCCUUGGAAACUGUGCAUCUAGAGUGGAGGAGAGGUAGGUGGAAUUCCUGGUGUAGCGGUGAAAUGCGUAGAUAUCACGCGGAACCCCAAUUGCGAAGGCGGCUUACUGGACUGUAACUGACGUUGAGGCACGAAAGCGUGGGGAGCAAACAGGAUUAGAUACCCGAGUAGUC